RNAcentral lists this ribosomal RNA (168 nucleotides) under Lactarius omphaliiformis. Its description in RNAcentral is "partial small subunit ribosomal RNA". The record is from RNAcentral. Lineage: Eukaryota; Fungi; Basidiomycota; Agaricomycetes; Russulales; Russulaceae.
GGAAUGGGAAUAUAAUUAUAAUUUUUUCAUAGUUAAUAUUAAUUUAUAUUUUUAUAUAAUUUUAUAUAGUUUAUUAUAUUAUAAACGACUAUGUAAAAACUAAUUAGUUUUUAUUAAUUCAUUUGAGUAACAUCUCAAAAGUCAUAGCAAGGUAGCUUGUACUGGAAA